CCGGCGCGGCGGGAGGAGCCACGCGAGAGAGCGAGGGGCGGGGCGGGUCACGUGGCCGGGCCCGGCGGGAGGGGCCGUGCAAGAGGCGUAAACAAGUUCUCCCGGCUGGGUGUGGUUGUGUGUCUGCUGCUUUUCCGAUGCUGUGUCUCCGCUCACAGAUCCGGGUGCCCCCGCUCCCGGCCCAGGGUCUCCCCGUUCCCGGCCGCAGAGCUGCGAUCUUGUUUCCCAAGGAGCCAGUGGGUACCUCUGUGGAGGAAGGGUCUGCUUUAGAUCUUUAAAGGAGUUCAUCGCUAGGAAAGGAGCAAAGCUGCACCAGGGCAACCUCUGUCCUUCGCAGAGUAUUUGCCAAAGCGCAUCUCUGGGGCUGCGAAGAACCACGGUGGCUGCUAACCUCAGGUUGCUAACAUUUCCGACGUUAUGUGGAAAACCACCCUAAGCAGGGCAGGCAUCUUUCGAAGCAGAACCCCUCCAUUCGGUGCCUCCUCUGCUUCUUCCUAGCUGUGUAAAUCUGCGCAAGUCUUGAGGUCCCUUGAGCCUCAGUUUCUUCCUCUAUGAAAUGGGCAUGGUAACAUGAGUGACGGGAGGAUUCCUGGAGGAAAAGUAUGGAGAGUGUUUAGCACAGUGACCCAGGCCAGGUAAAGGUGAUGGUUGGUAUCUGAGGCAGGUGAUGGUGAGCGCUAGGCACCAAAGCAAAGCAAAGCAAAGAGGUGUGAGAGAGGCCGCAGAGAAUGAGGUGACGUCCCACUGUGGGGUCUCAAAAGGCUUUUUGAAAGAGUGGGCCUCCUGCUGGGUUUUAAAAGAAAGGUAGGUUUCAUGAAAUAGAAUCGGGAGAGGCUUCUGGGGAGAAAAGGGUAUUCCAGGCCAAGAACCAAAGAAGCAAGCGGCUGGAGGCAAUAAAUGCUGGGUCUGCAGUCUCCGAGUGAGUUUCCUGUGAGUAUCCAGAGGAUGCCCAGGCGGAAGUCCCCAGGCCUCUGUGGUGCAGGAACCAGUUGACAGUCUUCAGCAGAAAAGGUCACAGCAUGUUCAGGUGACAAUGAGAAGAUGGUUAGAAGGCAGAAGCUACAAUCACAAACACCUUCCUGGCCUUACUCUGUGUGGUCUGCCCUCCCC
This is a non-coding RNA of Sus scrofa (pig), 1110 nucleotides long. The record is from RefSeq and is a predicted model, not a curated record. Lineage: Eukaryota; Metazoa; Chordata; Mammalia; Artiodactyla; Suidae.